Non-coding RNA from Pelobates cultripes (western spadefoot toad), 217 nucleotides. NCBI's taxonomy places the organism in Eukaryota, Metazoa, Chordata, Amphibia, Anura, Pelobatidae. The record is from the annotation of a GenBank genome assembly.
GCCUGUCUUCAGCAGACAAAAUGGCCACCAUUCGAUAGAGCACAUGUUUUUGGUUAUACGAAUGGUGGCCUCCCAGGGAAAGCACUUAUGUUAAUGACCUUCUUUGAAGUUAAUGAGCCAGGGGUGGUCUGUCUCUCGGGAGUAUAAAAAGGGGAACACAAAAUUCUAUUUGGUAACCGAACAGGGGGGUGUGUACGAAUUUGAAAGAGUGAUGUGG